Non-coding RNA from Cinara cedri, 353 nucleotides. The record is from the annotation of a GenBank genome assembly. NCBI's taxonomy places the organism in Eukaryota, Metazoa, Arthropoda, Insecta, Hemiptera, Aphididae.
GAUCGUAUAUAGCCUGAUAAUCGAUAUUUAAUAUCAACAUAAUAUCUUAAUUCGUGUUUUAGUCCAUAUCAGUUGGUAGUUGCUGUCAGGCACGUAUACAAAGGAGAGGUUUGGAGUUCAACUCCCUCCUCGAAAAUGAAUAGUUGUGUAAUUUAUUUAAAUCAAUUUAAUACUUUUUUAUAAAUAUUCAUUAUUGUAAUUUUUUUAUAAAUCCCUCCGAAUUUUUUUCCUGUUCCGUGCCUGGUUGCUGUAGUUUGUAACUCAUCUAUGUAUAUGAAAAUUAGUUAUUAAGUAGUUAAUUAUAAACGUUAUAGAGGAUGUGACUAAAACAAAUCGUUUCUUUAGUCCAGCUG